Molecule: ribosomal RNA, 429 nt
Filed under: uncultured Acidobacterium sp.
Lineage: Bacteria; Pseudomonadati; Acidobacteriota; Terriglobia; Terriglobales; Acidobacteriaceae
Description: bacterial SSU rRNA
Rfam family: Bacterial small subunit ribosomal RNA
Source: RNAcentral
AACGCGAAGAACCUUACCUGGGCUCGAAGCGCAGUGGACAUGGGUGGAAACAUCCCUUUCUCGCAAGAGACUGCUGCGGAGGUGCUGCAUGGCUGUCGUCAGCUCGUGUCGUGAGAUGUUGGGUUAAGUCCCGCAACGAGCGCAACCCUUAUCGUUAGUUGCCAGCGAGUCAAGUCGGGCACUCUAGCGAAACCGCCUCGGAUAACGGGGAGGAAGGUGGGGAUGACGUCAAGUCCUCAUGGCCUUUAUGUCCAGGGCUACACACGUGCUACAAUGGCCGGUACAAACCGUCGCAAACUCGCGAGAGGGAGCUAAUCGGAAAAAGCCGGCCUCAGUUCGGAUUGGAGUCUGCAACUCGACUCCAUGAAGCUGGAAUCGCUAGUAAUCGCGGAUCAGCACGCCGCGGUGAAUACGUUCCCGGGCCUUGUA